This is a small nuclear RNA of Nycticebus coucang (slow loris), 107 nucleotides long. Lineage: Eukaryota; Metazoa; Chordata; Mammalia; Primates; Lorisidae. The record is from RefSeq and is a predicted model, not a curated record.
GUGCUCAAUUCAGCAGCACAUACACUAAAAUUGGAACAAUACCGAGAAAAUUAGCAUAGCCCCUGCCCAGGGAUGACACACAGAUGCGUGAAGCAUUCCAUAUUUGU